This 451-nucleotide ribosomal RNA is filed under the name uncultured bacterium. RNAcentral's name for it is "partial 16S ribosomal RNA". It matches the Rfam family "Bacterial small subunit ribosomal RNA", at positions 29 to 523 of the family's 1533-position model. The record is from RNAcentral.
AACGAACGCUGGCGGCAGGCUUAACACAUGCAAGUCGAUCGCUGUCUUCGGACAGAGAGGCGCACGGGUGAGUAACCCGUGGGAACAUGCCCUUAAGUACGGAAUAACACAUGGAAACGUGUGCUAAUACCGUAUACGCCCUACGGGGGAAAGAUUUAUCGCUUAAGGAUUGGCCCGCGUCCGAUUAGCUAGUUGGUGAGAUAAUGGCUUACCAAGGCUAUGACGGUUAGGGGGCCCGAGAGGGUGAACCCCCACACUGGGACUGCGACACGGCCCAGACUCCUACGGGAGGCAGCAGUUUGGAAUAUUGGACAAUGGGCGAAAGCCUGAUCCAGCGACGCCGCGUGGUGGAUGAAGGUCUUCGGAUUGUAAACACCUUUUGGCAGGGAACAAUUUUUGAGCGUACCUGCAGAAUAAGUGGUUGCUAACUCUGUGCCAGCCGCCGCGGUAA